ACCCUGUGAACAUACCUAAACGUUGCUUCGGCGGGAAUAGACGGCCCCGUAAAACGGGCCGCCCCCGCCAGAGGACCCCUAACUCUGUUUCUAUAAUGUUUCUUCUGAGUAAAACAAGCAAAUAAAUUAAAACUUUCAACAACGGAUCUCUUGGCUCUGGCAUCGAUGAAGAACGCAGCGAAAUGCGAUAAGUAAUGUGAAUUGCAGAAUUCAGUGAAUCAUCGAAUCUUUGAACGCACAUUGCGCCCGCCAGUAUUCUGGCGGGCAUGCCUGUUCGAGCGUCAUUACAACCCUCAGGCCCCCGGGCCUGGCGUUGGGGAUCGGCGGAGCCCCCCGUGGGCACACGCCGUCCCCCAAAUACAGUGGCGGUCCCGCCGCAGCUUCCAUCGCGUAGUAGCUAACACCUCGCGACUGGAGAGCGGCGCGGCCACGCCGUAAAACACCCAACUCUUCUGAAGUUGACCUCGAAUCAGGUAGGA
This 479-nucleotide ribosomal RNA is filed under the name Fusarium solani. RNAcentral's name for it is "eukaryotic LSU rRNA". The stretch from base 131 to 284 matches the Rfam family "5.8S ribosomal RNA". Lineage: Eukaryota; Fungi; Ascomycota; Sordariomycetes; Hypocreales; Nectriaceae. The record is from RNAcentral.